UGAGAGGAUGAUCAGCCACACUGGAACUGAGACACGGUCCAGACUCCUACGGGAGGCAGCAGUGGGGAAUAUUGCACAAUGGGCGCAAGCCUGAUGCAGCCAUGCCGCGUGUGUGAAGAAGGCCUUCGGGUUGUAAAGCACUUUCAGCAGUGAGGAAGGCGGGUACGUUAAUAGCGUGCUCGUUUGACGUUAGCUGCAGAAGAAGCACCGGCUAACUCCGUGCCAGCAGCCGCGGUAAUACGGAGGGUGCGAGCGUUAAUCGGAAUUACUGGGCGUAAAGCGCAUGCAGGUGGUUUGUUAAGUCAGAUGUGAAAGCCCGGGGCUCAACCUCGGAACAGCAUUUGAAACUGGCAGACUAGAGUACUGUAGAGGGGGGGUAGAAUUUCAGGUGUAGCGGUGAAAUGCGUAGAGAUCUUGAAGGAAUACCSGUGGCCGAAGGCGGSCCCCCUGGACAGAUACUGACACUCAGAUGCGAAAGCGUGGGGAGCAAACAGGAUUAGAUACCCCUGGUAGUCCACGCCGUAAACGAUGUCUACUUGGAGGUUGUGGCCCUGAGCCGUGGCUUUUCGGAGCUAACGCGUUAAGUAGACCGCCUGGGGAGUACGGUCGCAAGAUUAAAAACUCAAAUGAAAUUGACGGGGGCCCGCACAAGCGGUGGAGCAUGUGGUUUAAUUCGAUGCAACGCGAARAACCUUACCUACUCUUGACAUCCAGAGAACUUAGCAGAGAUGCUUUGGUGCCUUCGGGAG
Molecule: ribosomal RNA, 749 nt
Filed under: Vibrio sp. 01SF1M10_3
Lineage: Bacteria; Pseudomonadati; Pseudomonadota; Gammaproteobacteria; Vibrionales; Vibrionaceae
Description: bacterial SSU rRNA
Rfam family: Bacterial small subunit ribosomal RNA
Source: RNAcentral